AGAGUUUGAUCAUGGCUCAGAAUCAACGCUGGCAGCGUGCCUAACACAUGCAAGUCGAACGCGAAAGUGGAGCAAUCCAUGAGUAGAGUGGCGAACGGGUGAGUAACACGUGGGUGACCUACCUUCGAAUGGGGGAUAACGUCCCGAAAGGGACGCUAAUACCGCAUAACAUCCUGUCCUUGAACGGAUGGAGAUCAAAGCCGGGGAUCGCAAGACCUGGCGUUUGGAGAGGGGCCCGCGUCCGAUUAGCUAGUUGGUGAGGUAAUGGCUCACCAAGGCGACGAUCGGUAACCGGCCUGAGAGGGCGGACGGUCACACUGGGACUGAGACACGGCCCAGACUCCUACGGGAGGCAGCAGUGGGGAAUUGUUCACAAUGGGCGCAAGCCUGAUGACGCAACGCCGCGUGGAGGAUGAAGGUCUUCGGAUUGUAAACUCCUGUUGCUCGGGACGAAAAGCUUCGACCUAACACGUCGAAGUCUGACGGUACCGAGUGAGGAAGCCCCGGCUAACUCUGUGCCAGCAGCCGCGGUA
This 533-nucleotide ribosomal RNA is filed under the name uncultured Acidobacteriota bacterium. RNAcentral describes it as "bacterial SSU rRNA". It matches the Rfam family "Bacterial small subunit ribosomal RNA", at positions 8 to 522 of the family's 1533-position model. The record is from RNAcentral. Lineage: Bacteria; Pseudomonadati; Acidobacteriota.